RNAcentral lists this long non-coding RNA (313 nucleotides) under Trifolium pratense (red clover). Its description in RNAcentral is "long non-coding RNA (TPRA_LNC008892)". The record is from RNAcentral. Lineage: Eukaryota; Viridiplantae; Streptophyta; Magnoliopsida; Fabales; Fabaceae.
UCUUAUUUUCCUUAAGUUGUUGGACUUACUUGUAAAUGACGGAAUUCAUAUCAUCUUAUUAUCAUAGUGAGAAAACUCAAUAGUCCAAACGUCAGAUCAUAUUGAUAUUUCUAAUUCGUUUUCUACAUUAUAUAUGUACUAUCAAUCACAAUUACAUUAGAAACAUUCAAUGCCAGAUAACUUACUCUUGUUCCAAAUGCAGCUCUUCACGAUCCAAUCCAGAAGCCACGAGUAAUUUGAAAUAAUUGGGAUAAUCAGACAAAGGCAACAUCUCAUUUUCAUCCAAGUUGAAAUCACAAAUUCCACAACCGAG